UUAAGUCAGGCAACGAGCGAGACCUGUAUCUACAAUUGCUAACGACUCUUUUAAGAGAAUCGAGCACAUUGUGGAGACUGCCCGGGAAACCGGGAGGAAGGUGCAGGCUACGGUAGGUCUGUAUGCUUCGAAUCUUCUGGGCUACACGCGCGCAACAAUGGUAAAGACAAUGGGAUGCAACUCUGAAAAGAGAAGCUAAUCCUCCAAACUUUAUCUCAGUCCAGAUUGAGGAUUGUAACUCAUCCUCAUGACGAUGGAAUCCCUAGUAACCAGAAGUCAUCAGCUUCUGGUGAAUAUGUCCCUGCUCCUUGCACA
This 315-nucleotide ribosomal RNA is filed under the name uncultured archaeon. RNAcentral's name for it is "bacterial SSU rRNA". It matches the Rfam family "Archaeal small subunit ribosomal RNA", at positions 1029 to 1343 of the family's 1478-position model. The record is from RNAcentral.